CAGGGCUCCAGUGCAGAGCUGUGAAAUUGACAAGAAUGACAGCCAAUAAAGACCCUUUCCUACCCUUCGUGGGUAAAAGGCCAGAGAAAGUCAGGCAAAGCUUUUGAGGGUCCUAUCAGCAUAUGCAAAAUACAAUUCUCAAAUAGACUACAGUCAAGCUGCUUUUACAGGUUACAUUCUUUAUAAUGAAGAGCCUGGACACUAGUAAGAGAACCCAUUCUAUUUGCCUCCACUAAGGGUGGAAGCUACAAGAGGAAGAGAAAAUGAAGCAGGAGCUGCCUUCAGGAACAGGAGCCACAAGGCAGACAGCAGCUGCCUGAAGAGAAAAGGGGACCAGUCAGGAGACUAGAGGGAAAGAGAGUCUGGGUUCCAUGUGUUGUGGUGAAGGGCACAGAGACAGGAAAAGGUAUGAACAGAUCAGAUGGAAAGGGUGGGAUAUGAAAUGAAUAUUUCUUUUCCCCUGAAAGGACACAACACUACAUUAGAGAUAGUUAAUAAUAGCUGGAAACAUUACAAAAAACUUUCAGUAUAGAUAAGGUUCUAAUACUUAAUUAUAUACAGUUAAAUACUAUAUUUCAACCCUCUGAGAAAUGGGAGACUUCAAAAGACCACUUGCUUAUUUAAUUAUUACUGAAAAGCUAAUGAGUAAUUCUAAAGGGUCCAAAGUUAACACUUUGAAACUAUAUUCUGAAACUCAAACUUGGUAUAGAAGACAAAUGUGAAUAAAAGAGGAAAGGAUUUAGAUAAAUUAUUUUAGAGCACUGACUAUUUAUUUGGCAUAAGAUAAUUUUCUCCUCCAUAUGUGUUUACAGUAAAAGAAAUGUUAAUUCGGUGGGUAGUGAUACUCUCAUUUAAGGAAAAUCUACAAAGAUGCAUUGGUUGACAGCUGAAUUGAAUGUGGAAUGAAAGGUACUUUUAUCCAUAUUUGGUUGAAAUACUUCAGAGUACAGAUAUAUUGGUCAAGAAUUUGAACUCUUAUAAUAGAUAAAACAAAAAUGAAAUUACCAGUGGAUCCUUUGAUUGUGUUUUUGGGGCAUUCAGAGAAAGAGAGAUCCAUUGGAUAAUACAAAAUUCUGAUAGCAUCAAGGUGUAUUCUUGCAGAAUUUUAGAAAAAGAGGAAGCCCCUGAUAACCUAUUGUUUCAAAAGAGAUUGAUAUAUUCUUUUAUGGAAAAAGUUUAUAGGUGAUCUGCAACAAGGGGCUAGUAGCCUUUCUCAGAUUAAGCCGCCAUUUCUGGAAUAUAAAAAAAGACAAUAUAAAAUAAAUAGACCUGGGAAAUACAGACAUUUUGUUUUACUGUAAAACACUUAAUCUUUUUCUUCUGGUCUAGUAUAUAGACAGAAUUAUAAUAUGUAGAACUCAUGUAUGUUAAACUUCAGCUCUUACUACAAGAUUUUUCAAUAUGGUAAUGUAAUUUGAAAUGGAACAAUGAUUUUUCUUAUAUCUACUACAUCUGAAAAACUAUGAAUAAGACCGUUAAAAUAUCUAAAUAUUUUGAUAUUACUCUUCCAUGUAAGCAAUUACUAUAUUAAAAUUCAACACCCAUCAAGUUAUUUGUCUUCACACAUGCAUGUUCACAGGCUGUCUCAUGCACUAUGUAAGUGUAGGUUGCUAUUUGUCAUGCAUACUCAGGUCACAAUUCAUGCGGCUUACGAUUUUUUAAUGCACAUUCAUGGAUAUCCCUGCACACAGCUGCACUCAUGCAACCAGUUAAAAUGCAUGCAUGAAUCAUGUGAUAUGCUCAUCUUUACAAGACAUCAAAUCUUGAAAUGGUACUAGCUGCUGUUUGUCUCUUACUGGCCACCUUUAUAGUUUCUUAUUAAAAAUACAAAAUGUAAGACACUAUUUUUUUUUCCUGUUAAGGAUUUGUCUGUUUAAGGUCAAGUACACUCAGAAGUACUGUUAAAAUGCCUCUAAUUUAUACUUUUUUUUUCUUACUAGCAUUCAGUUACAUACUAAAAUCUUUCAGCAACUAAUUAAACAUAGCAUACCUAAAUUAUGGCAGCAUCUUAUAAGUAUGACUUCAGUUAGUACUACGUACAUAUUUAAUUAUAAAUGUUAAAACUUUUAUGAUUUAGACUAAAAAUGUCUAUGUGGGAGCUGAUGUGUUCCUUUUGAAUCCCUUGACCCCUCUCCAAACUAUUCAACAGUGGGUAUCUCCAAUUUACUGAUUUAGUAUUUGGAAAAACCCACAAAGGUCUGAUCUUUGAGGCUGGGCUGAAUGGUAAUAGAUAUAUGAAGAUGCAUCCUAAAUGUUUGUUAGCAGUAAUGUUACUUCUAGAAAGCUGCUAGACCACCUGGAAGCACUGUUGAUCAGUACCAUUUUAAAAACAAAUUAAACAGUUACUUGUUAAAU
Long non-coding RNA from Caretta caretta (loggerhead turtle), 2355 nucleotides. RefSeq lists it as uncharacterized. The record is from RefSeq and is a predicted model, not a curated record. Lineage: Eukaryota; Metazoa; Chordata; Testudines; Cheloniidae.